This 780-nucleotide ribosomal RNA is filed under the name Naganishia cf. antarctica DBVPG 5900. Its description in RNAcentral is "eukaryotic LSU rRNA". The stretch from base 510 to 780 matches the Rfam family "Eukaryotic large subunit ribosomal RNA", at positions 1 to 266 of the family's 3401-position model. Lineage: Eukaryota; Fungi; Basidiomycota; Tremellomycetes; Filobasidiales; Filobasidiaceae. The record is from RNAcentral.
GGAUUUUACUCAUAUCCAUAACACCUGUGCACUUGUCGGAUGGCUUAGUGAAGACCGCAAGGUUGGAACUAUCCAUCUACUUUACAUAACAAUCCUGUAACAAAUGUAGUCUUAUUAUAACAUAAUAAAACUUUCAACAACGGAUCUCUUGGCUCUCGCAUCGAUGAAGAACGCAGCGAAAUGCGAUAAGUAAUGUGAAUUGCAGAAUUCAGUGAAUCAUCGAAUCUUUGAACGCACCUUGCGCUCCUUGGUAUUCCGAGGAGCAUGCCUGUUUGAGUGUCAUGAAAACCCUCAACCUUAGAUUGGUUAUUUGACCUUUCUUUGGCUUGGAUUUGGACGUUUGCCGAUGAUAAAUCGGCUCGUCUUAAAAGUAAUAGCUGGAUCUGUCUCGCGACAUGGUUUGACUUGGCGUAAUAAGUAUUUCGCUAAGGACAUCUUCGGAUGGCCACGUUGCAGGACUAAAGACCGCUUUCUAAUCCAUUGAUCUUCGGAUUAAUAUUCUUGACAUCUGGCCUCAAAUCAGGUAGGACUACCCGCUGAACUUAAGCAUAUCAAUAAGCGGAGGAAAAGAAACUAACAAGGAUUCCCCUAGUAACGGCGAGUGAAGCGGGAAGAGCUCAAAUUUGAAAUCUGGCGGCAUCCUGUCGUCCGAGUUGUAAUCUAUAGAAGUGUUUUCCGCGUCGGACCAUGUACAAGUCCCUUGGAACAGGGCGUCAUAGAGGGUGAGAAUCCCGUCCUUGACAUGAUCUCCGGUGCUAUGUGAUACACUUUCAACGAGUC